GGUCGAACCUGCCCGGUGGGAGUGUCUUAACGGCUGCAGCUACCACUGCACUAAGGUAGCAUAAUAGUUCGUCCUUUAAUUGGGGAAUUGUAUGAAUGGUGUGACGAUGGGGGGACUAUGUUGGGAGUGUUAUUGUGAAGUUUUCUUCCAAGUGAAAAGGCUUGGAUUUGUUUAUUAGACGAGAAGACCCCAUCGAGCUUAGUAGCCGCUAGGCCUUUUUGGCUAGUUGGCAUGUUUUGUCGGGAUAGACAGGAAGGGACAUUAAUACCUUCUUAAUAUUAUGUGGAUCCAGCAGGGCUGAUAAGAAGAAGAUAGUUACCGUGGGGAUAACAGCGCAAUACUUCUGUCGAGAAGUCAUUUGAGGAGGUGAUUGCGACCUCGAUGUUGAAUCAGGGCUCCUACUAGGUAGUAGCAGCUUAGUAAGUAGGACUGUUCGUCCUUUGAAACCCUACG
RNAcentral lists this ribosomal RNA (453 nucleotides) under Tellina sp. IK-2015. RNAcentral's name for it is "partial 16S ribosomal RNA". It matches the Rfam family "Bacterial large subunit ribosomal RNA", at positions 1850 to 2600 of the family's 2925-position model. The record is from RNAcentral. Lineage: Eukaryota; Metazoa; Mollusca; Bivalvia; Cardiida; Tellinidae.